Molecule: ribosomal RNA, 474 nt
Filed under: Thalassoma lunare
Lineage: Eukaryota; Metazoa; Chordata; Actinopteri; Labriformes; Labridae
Description: partial small subunit ribosomal RNA
Rfam family: Bacterial small subunit ribosomal RNA
Source: RNAcentral
CACUAUGCCUAGCCCUAAACAUUGAUAAUACCCUACCCAGUUUAUCCGCCCGGGGACUACGAGCGUCAGCUUGAAACCCAAAGGACUUGGCGGUGCUUUAGAUCCACCUAGAGGAGCCUGUUCUAGAACCGAUAAUCCCCGUUCAACCUCACCUUUCCUUGCUCAUUCCGCCUAUAUACCGCCGUCGUCAGCUUACUCUUUGAGGAACCAGCCGUAAGCGCAACUGGUACAACCUAAAACGCCAGGUCGAGGUGUAGCGAAUGGAAAGGGAAGAAAUGGGCUACAUUCAAUAACAAUAAUGCAUACGAACGAUGUCCUGAAAUAAACAUCUGAAGGAGGAUUUAGUAGUAAGUAGAGAGUAGAGUGCUCUGCUGAAGCCGGCCCUGAAGCGCGUACACACCGCCCGUCACUCUCCCCGAGCUAACCAUAAAAAUUAAUAAUAAGCAAAACUUGCAAAGGGGAGGCAAGUCGUAA